RNAcentral lists this long non-coding RNA (224 nucleotides) under Carica papaya (papaya). RNAcentral's name for it is "long non-coding RNA (CPAP_LNC013221)". The record is from RNAcentral. Lineage: Eukaryota; Viridiplantae; Streptophyta; Magnoliopsida; Brassicales; Caricaceae.
CGGCAAGCUUGGGACAUGCACCUGCACGCACGUCCAAUCAGUACAGGGUGCGAGGUGCGCAGUUUGUGCGUGUGGCGCUCGGGCAACGGGCAUUGCCCCUUGGGCGGCAUGUACCGCUGUCAUUUGGGCGACAUGUACCGCUGUCGUUUGGGCGGUGUGCCUUCAGUUUUUACACCGUCUUGCACCAUUGUCAUCUCGUCAGUCGUCAGUCAGUUACAUCCAUC